Non-coding RNA from Podarcis lilfordi (Lilford's wall lizard), 69 nucleotides. The record is from the annotation of a GenBank genome assembly. Lineage: Eukaryota; Metazoa; Chordata; Lepidosauria; Squamata; Lacertidae.
GCAUUUGCUCAGUUGGCUAGAAUAGUGCUGAUAACACCAAGGUCAUGGGUUCGAUUCCCGUAUGGGGCA